CUUAGAUCAAUAGGAACUAAAUUUAUUCUUUUGAACUUUUUUUGUUGGCAUUAAUUUCUUACUAUAUCUAAAUGUAAGCAUUGGACUUUCAAAUCUAACCUUGUAACACUUCAAUAGCAAAAUAUAAAGAUAGAGAUAAAGGUAUAGUCUAGAUCUACCUUACUUCCAAAAAAUACAAAUAUAAAAUAGGCAUCAUCCUUACUAGUUUGGCACAUGAAGUUAUUGAUAUAGAUCUAGAAACCUCUGCAAUGUUUUAAUAAAGCUUUUUUUUUUUCUAUUUUUGUAGCCUGAACUCUAAAAGAUAUUUGUAAUGAACAAGGCACAUGAUGAUAGAGAAGACUUUAAGGUCAAAUAUACAAUAUUUACAAUGUACUUAAAGUACACACAUUUGAAUCACACUUGGCAAAAGCAAAAAUAAAUAAAAAAUGAAUAGUGAAGUCAUAUAUAUGUUUUGUAUAGUAGCAAUGAUUAACAAGUAUUUCAUUAUAAACAUUAUAUUGUUGUUAGAAGGAAUCCUAGUCCAUCAAUCCCCGGUCACUUAAUGACUUGGUCAAUUAAUCCCCUUUCCUUUUAAUCAUCAGUUAAAUCAGCGGUUCUCAACCUUUUAAGCUCGGCGACCCCUCUUUACAAUCCCACACUCUGCCGCGACCCCCCCCCCCC
Molecule: non-coding RNA, 660 nt
Organism: Biomphalaria pfeifferi
Lineage: Eukaryota; Metazoa; Mollusca; Gastropoda; Planorbidae
Source: the annotation of a GenBank genome assembly